UAAAAAAAAAAGAGCGAUUACAGCCCAUAGGAAUGCAUGUAAGCUGUGACAAGUUUUGCUCUUUGCGAGCGCCUCCCUUGCUGCUUCGCUAAAAUUUUGCCACGGAUCGCUGCAGAAAUUCCUCGUGAUUGGAUUCCUUACGUUUUUUUGUGUGAAAUCGCGUCACAUACAUGUUAUUUCCUGUCUAUGCUGUACUCGUGUGUGCGCGUGUCGUUCCAGUCUUGUACUUUGAACUACGAUUAUGUGAUUUGCUGGUUUUGUGUGGUGUUGUAUUUGUUGUGUUACGUUUCCUUUGUCGUCGGUCAGCGUGUUGCUUCUCGUGUUUCUCCCAUUUCCUUUCUGCUCGGGGGUGUGGAAUGCCAGGGAGCAGUAUUCUCAGAAUUGACUCUUGGCAUUCAGCAAUGUUUGGCACGUUUGUUUAUGAAACCACCUUAAUAUGCUUGCAUUACAUUAUGCUUUGCACAGUAAGUUUAGAUAUGACUAGUUAUGACACGAAAUGCCGAACGGCACUAAAGCACUUCCAAAGGACUAGAAUGAGAUAAAGUAUGUGAUAUAAAGGCUAUAUGACGCUAAAAACAUAUCGACUAGAAAUAUGUGCACUGGGGAGGUAAAUGGCGGUAAAUACAGUUCAAAAUGACUAGAGGUAGAGUGAAUAAGCCAUAAAAAGGCUAAGUAGCAAGGUCUCCAACAUCGAAGUAUCACAAGUCCAGUUACAAAAGCAAGUUUGAAGCAGUCAACCAUGAUGAGGCCUGGCUGUCACCUUCUCUGUAUAUUCCUUGGCAAGGUAGUACAGUCUGAUCCUGCUGUAGCACUGGGAAACUUCUUUGAUAAGACGGAUCACAUGGUUUUCAUUUGGGCUGCAUUCAAACAUAUGUUGUUGCAAACUGGGGAAGAUGCUGGGCAGCAGUGAUGUUGAUGAGAUAUGUUGCAAGACUGCUCUCGUUAGAAGCUCCCCAAUCUCAGCAUGCUUGGUUGCACUUUCUGUGUGAAAAUGUAAAGGCAGAUAUUGCAAAAUGUUUGUGUUCGUCAGUUGUCAGUUAUCCUAAGCAGGGAGAAUAAAGAGUAGACGUUCGAGGUUGAAAAAUUAUUUAUUGUCUGAGUAAACAUUCUGGAACGCACCAAAAAGACUGUGGCUGGUGUGUUAGUAUAUCUCACAAAUGAGUUAUGUUGGGCAAAAUUUUCGUGCAGUACUUUUUUCAAAUGCAAAUUUGCAAUACAAAUUUUCAUGCAUCUUAAUAUUGUCCUAUGCAAUAUGGAGUGGCUUUUAACUGCAUGUGAAUGCAUAAUUCAGGAGUGUUUUCGUAUAUUGGACUAGCUGCAGCAUAAGGUACCCUUCAUGCAGUACUGGUUCUAGUCAGCAACCAUCGCUUGGAACUAUAACUAGGGAACAUGAUUCAUAGUGGCCAAAUUUUCAUGCAAAUACAUACUUUCAACUCUGCAUGCUUUUUGUACACUGCAUAAUGUAAGAUCCUGUUGCCCCAGCAAAUUUGUUAAAUGUUUUAAAUGCAUGCAAGUGCAUUUCUAGAGGUGCAUAUAUUGAGCAAGUAUAAUGACUUUUUCAUGCAUAUGUGCUCAACCAGCUUUUAGUGCAUAUAAAUCUGGCCUCUACAUAUGAUGCAUGCAUUAUUACUUUUUGGAGGUGCUCUGGGAAGUCGAACUUGGUGGGCACAGCGUCAGACCUCAAACGAACGAUCUGCCCCGUUCUGUCGAAGCAGCUGUGUUCAUCCAGGUGUUCUGAUCCAGGCAAGAUACCGUGAUCGCCAAACUCAGUGGCAGGUCCCACACCUGACAAGUGCGCUUCAACACCUGCUGCGUGCUGAGACCAUACAGAGAACUGCAUGAAGUCUGUACUAUCAAAGUUACUAUAUCCGCAUAAAGUACUGCUUAAAGGGACCGAAAAGUGAAAAAUAACCCCCAUAUUUUUGCCCACUGUCGUGCACAACAUCGUUGUUUGAUAAGAUACAGAAAGCAUUACUUAUGAAUUCCGUAUAUUUUUUACGUAUAAAUAUUUUGAAGAUUGCCGGAACAUGGACGGUGCUGCCAGCGAACGGCGAAAAAGAGCAACUUAAUGGGUUUCAGGUCCAGGGCUCCCAGGGAUUGGUCAACCCUUACCACGUGAGAGUUAAUUUUGUAGAGAACAAAGCUGACGCACAUUAUCUUACAGCUAAACACCAUUUUAAAAAUGACGCUCAUUUCCAUAGCUUUUACGUUAAUAAAGCGUUCAGCUACUUCGCCGCUACGAGCUACGAUCCGCCGCGCCAUCUGCGAGGCCGUCUGUGUUAUCGCGUUUAUUGUUUACUUCGUGGGUGGUCGUGUUGGUCGCGCGAAGAGAAGUGAAUGACAUGUUCGUGGUUGUUGUGUCAAUUAUUCGAGAGGCCUAAAUAUGCCUGGUAUAGUUUUGGUGUGCGGGGAUGCAAAAAUCAUGUUCGUUCACCAUCGGCGGCGGGCGUUUUCUACCACAAGAUUCAAGAGGAGAGUGCGCGAAAACGAAUGUGGUUCGAAACACUCGGUUAUUAGAUGUAGCAACGCGUGCGCUUGGAGACUGGGAGGUCCGCGGUUCGAAUCCGCGGGCCGGCUGUGCCGUCUGGGGUUUUUCCUGGGUUUCCCUCAGAUGUGUAAUAGGCGUAUGCCGGCACAGUUCCCCCGAAGUCGGCCCAUGGACACAGCUAUCCUCCCCCCGAGCGGAUUCCGCUCGGUCUUCCACUUCACCCUUUCCUCUCCUCCUCUCCACCACCUUACCCUUCCCGAGAAACAUGCCGCCUAAUCAGGCAGGCAGACAUCUCGGGUUCCUCCCAACGACACUCCUCCUCCUCCUCCUCCGCAGUCGUGUCGUGUGUGCUGAGCUCAUUUUGCUGCCGAUGACUAAGAAGAUGCCGUAGAAGGCGAAUUGCGAAGACGUCCGAAGGAAACUGCCGUUCAGUAACCAGUGAUUUUGCUUCACCGAGGUGACGAGUUCAACACAACGUCUUAGGUAUGUACAGGCGUCACACAUGUAUAAAUUAUAAUAUAGCGACGACGUAUUCCAUUUAACUUAUGUUAUCCUACUUGUCCCGUACUCAACAUUGUCAACAUCAACAAUUUUUAUUUUAGGGGCCUUCCAGUGUUGAAGUGGCGCAAAACUGUUUCGUGUCCCAGAUAACACAAAAUGAUCCGAGGAAUGUCUUUGGGACGUCCCUCUGCGGAUGUUGAGGACGUCCGAGCGAUGUGCGAGUUUGGUUCAAUAAAAGUCCGAAACGCGUCUUUAUGAAACUCCGAUGGAUGUCGCUUAAAUGUUACAGGGACGUCCAUUGUGAUUUCUACUGGGCUUCUAGGAGUCCUUAUUGGGACGUUAUGCAUUCACUCGAAGCGGGCUUCCCUGGACAGCACGUCAGCUUUGCAGAGGUUCUAGCCUUAUUGUUAUUACCGCGUUCAACAUGGUAGAGGUUUUCAAACAGCAUCGAUCAGGACAUGUGCUGAUCGAUGCUGUUUGAGAGGAACCUUGCUGAAGCGAUUACGGUCAUCAAACAACAGAAAAUGCUCACUUGUUCCGACAUAAUCAACGCUUGUCCUUCAUUAGUUCCCCAAACGAGUUUACAUGUAUAAUAACAGUGAUAAAUUCAAUAGCUAAGGCAGUGGCGGAUCCAGACCAUUGGCUAGGAGAGAGGGUGGACCCUUUGUCGGAGCGCGUAGUGGGGAGGGGAGAAAUGCAAUGCAUAAACUAAUGUUGUUGUUUUUUGGGGGGUGCGAUAGCCCAACCGCCUUUCUCCCAGAAACGUCACUGCACUUACCAGAGUAUAAAACCAGGGUUGCAUCAAGCAUCGUAGCUUGCUAUUGGCCUACUUCAUCACAGAUCACUACUGUAAACACACACAAUAAAUAUUGCAUCACUAAAUCCCCAUCAGAAAGUAAUACGAAAAAAUAUCCGAUGCAUACAACAAUCAUCACUGUCCUCCUUCAGAUUCACUGUGUGUUGCACUCCCCCAGUAACUUGUCGUGCGUGGUGCAACCUGCACUGUGCAACCAUGCUGAACUUGCUUGAAUGCUUGCUGAACUUCAAGGGUGGCAUCAUUGAAGAAGCACCCUGACCUUCUGUCAAGCAGUCUGGAAACAAAGCAAAAACGUACUCAAUAUUUGCAAAACCCAUACCUAAUUUAUGUGUUGCACAGUCCAGGAAUCUUGUCCUAUCAACCAAGCGCUGUCGCACACAAGCUCAUACACGCGCCGAGUCGGACAAAAAAUGUUGUGUAGAGCGACCAGAUCAUUGCUAAUCAAACAACAGUACAUAAUUUCACAUUUAAGGAAUUCGAAUGUCGGAAUCGGCUACAUACCUUACUCGCCAUCUUGCUCUCGCCUGUACCUCACAAGCUAUAGGCCGGCACACGCACUGCCAACAUGGAGAACAUGCCAACGGAAAUUUGCCUUUCCGCCACUUUCAAAGAUCAGUUUCAGCAACACACACGUCUGUACUCGUCCUCAUAACGUGAGCAAACACCAGGAAGUAUUACCACAAACGUAAACAUACCGAGAAGAUUGAUGUCGACCGCAGCGGUGCUUCGUAUUCUGCUCGGAAAUGCGAUGGAAACUCAAUCAAACCAAAUGGCAUCAGGGAUCCGUUGUCGCGCGGACGCCUCACGGCCUCACCAGGCGCCCACAGCUCCCCAUAGAGCCCAUAGUUUGAGAUAAUUCAGGCAACACUGGACAUACGACCAAUGAAAAUGCGUCGUGAUGCCUAGCAGCCAACCAAUCAGCAACCACUCCGUUUGGCUCGGCUUUCCGCCGGCCCUGGCUGCCAUUGACUUCUACUGGUUUUCAUACCUGGCGCCCGUUAUUCCAAAAUAACAAAGACAUUUUUGAUAGGCUAAAUACAUAUUUAUUGAUGCAACGUAUAAACUCAAAUGUUUGACUCAUAUAUUCACCGUGCGUACAGGACGUUUCGUUCCUUGAAUAGACAGCAACCAAACCAAGUUCGAACUUGCAAAGCACACACACAGUCUACUUCUGGAGGCGAGCGAAGUCCACGAGUGCGUGCGUUUCACAGAUGAGCAUCUUCUUCUCAUUCUGGCGAUGCACAGUGGGUCACACAGUCACGGGAAAUACUUUUGUCGUUACGAACACUCUCUUCUUAGUCACUGUAUUUGAAAAUGCGACAGCGCUCGAAAGUGUUCCUCAGGCGUCAGCUCACCAAGCAUUCCAGUUCCGACUCGGCAAGAAUGUCCGUAGGUUGACACUUUAUCGGAGAUCAGUACAUGGCCAGAGUCACUAUAACUCACGAACAAACCCGCGCAUACACUUCCUCUUUGGUCGUUGUUGUCAACCGACAUCGGCGAGCCGCAGAGACGCAGCGACCUUGCUUGGAGCUGCCCGACUGGCCGCGAAAAGUGAGCUGUCAGAUAUUUCGAAACUUUAUCAACCAAUCCCGGAGCGCGCAUCCUCCUGCGGCCAAUGGGCAUCCGUCAUGAUGCCUGACGAUGUAAUACCACGUGACCGUGACGUAAUUUUAUUUUUCUACUGCCGCAAAUGCAGGGAGCUGUGGAGGCCUGGCCAGGCUCCAACAGCUCCCCAUAGAGCCCAUAGUUUGAGAUAAUUCACACAACACUGGGCACACGACCAAUGAGAGUGCAACGUUGUAGAAAUUAUGCAAUGCCAGUCGGCCAAUCAGGAGCCUUAACUUUGGCUGACCUUUCGACCGGUUCUGGCUACCAUCGACUUCUACCGGAUUUCACGCCUACCGCCGUUACCCGAUAUUCAAAAUAACCGAAGGUUCUCUUGGCUAAAAGAAAUAUUUAUUUAUUUAAAGCACUGAUUCAAAGAUCUGAUACAUGGGUACACUGUGAAUACAAAGUCCACUGUGUUGCUGACGCACUGUAACUAAGUUGGAACUUGAAGCAAAACGAACACAGCUCUCGCAAUCCGACGGGGCCGGCGCUUGUUCUUCACUCUCCAACCGCUCCAACUCACGAAGCAUUCCAGUUCCGGAGUUGAUAAACUGUUCGUGGGAUAAUAGUCGUGUCCAGGAGCAGCACAACACACGUUGAAUCACAUCGACGCAUGAAUAAACCAGCGAACACUUCUAGAAACUGUUCUGCCGAUUUGACAUCAUCGAAACACGGAACACAAGAGGACGCCUUGCCGGCCGAUUUUAUGAUGAGCAUCUUCUUUCGUUGUUUCCAGAGCGGAAAAGACGCUUGUGUGGCACGUAAUCGUAAUCCUGUCUUUGUUGUCAGGCCUCAAAAUCCGACGGCGCCCGAACGCGUUCUUCACGCUCCAACCGCACCAGCCAACGAAGCAUUCCAGUUCCGUAGUUGAUAGACUGUACGUGGGAUAAUAGUCGUGUCCAGGAACAGCACAACACGCGUAGAAUCACAAACUGUUCUGCCGAUUGACAUCACCGAAACACAACACAAGAGGACGGACGCCGUGCCGACCGAUGCGAGCUAUUUCGAAACUAUGCUGAAACUGCUGAAACGGCCGCCGGGACGCUGCACACACAUGCGCGCGUACAAAAUGCGAUUUCAAAACGUUGUCGACCAAUCGGAGCGCGCACACAGUCUGGGCCAAUGAGCUUGCAACGUUGUAGAUUGGCGCAGUGGUACAUACUCUACAGCCGCAUCCUCGGUUACCUGAGGAGGACUGGCCUGGCCUCACUACCAUCAGACCAUCUGCUCUUUCCCUCUUUCUCUCAAAAACUUGGGAGAGUGAGAGGAGCUCGCGCUGCUUCGCCGCUUCGCACUCCGACUAACAUUUCUGGGGCUUCCUUAGCAAAGAAUACAAGGGACACGUCCCAGGAACGCAACUUCUGGGACCUGGGACUUUGGGACAUUUUUAGGACGUCCGAAUAAAGUUUCGUGUUGUCUGGGGUGUGUGUGUGAUCCAUGCACUGACAUGACAGAAAUAGCUGAAAACAGGUAUGCAAAGUCCACAGAUGGAAGCACUAGAUUUGUUACGUGUUCCAGACUUUGUGACAUUUUUUUUUUUUAGUCUUUGGACAGGUGCAGAAUAUUCAUAUGACGUCAACAAGGGGAGAAGAAACUGGUGAGAACUACUAGCUUGUUUGAAGGGUACAAGAAUACUUCCUGUUGAGAUGUAGUUGUGACUUUAUGACUAAGGAACGCUAAUUAAUUUUCUAGAGAUGCAUCCUCUACACUUGAAUGCCCAGUGAAACAGCAAACGUUCGUUGUCUUUGAAGUCCCACUACUGGAAUUGUUCAAUGUGUGUCAGAGCUGCAGUGAGCCAUGCAAGGUUACCACAUCAUAUUGGUCCUAAAUUUGCAGAGUUCCCCUAUCUCGGACGCAACUGUCAUUUCUCUUUAUUGCUCUUCCGAUCCUACCUUCUCAGAGAUUAAUGUGGUUCACAAUACACUGCAUGGGUACUGCCUUUCUCUAUACUCAUGCUUUCGGUUUCUUGUUCUGUUGAAUAAAUCUUCACUUGAGUUUGAGAGCCAUCACGCUGUCUACUGUGUUUGCCCCUCAUCUAUAUUGAUGUGCUGUAACGGUAUAGCACAUCGACAUGCCAACAGCCUAUCAAACAACCUUGCUUAGUCCUACUUUUGGAUGGAAACUACACGAUGUGGUAACAUCUACAUAUAUAAAGUUUUAAUCGACGGAGAUUUGCUGUUUUUGUACAACCUUCAUUGUACAUUUCUUUUGUCUCACUUAGCAGGCUGAAGAAAUGUUCUGAUCUUCAUCAAGAUGACAGGUCAUUGUUCGAUCUGCAGCAUUAUUGUUCCUGUAAUCUUUUCACCAACAGAGAAUACAAAAGUGAACAAAUGGUUUUACAACUCUAUCAAGUACGUCAAAACAUCAGAGGGCAGGAAGUCCUACUCUGUUUCCUAAAUCCCUG
Molecule: long non-coding RNA, 7818 nt
Organism: Ornithodoros turicata
Lineage: Eukaryota; Metazoa; Arthropoda; Arachnida; Ixodida; Argasidae
Exons: 3
Source: RefSeq, a predicted model, not a curated record